Molecule: ribosomal RNA, 450 nt
Filed under: uncultured bacterium
Lineage: Bacteria
Description: partial 16S ribosomal RNA
Rfam family: Bacterial small subunit ribosomal RNA
Source: RNAcentral
GUGGGGAAUUUUGGACAAUGGGCGAAAGCCUGAUCCAGCAAUGCCGCGUGCAGGAUGAAGGCCCUCGGGUUGUAAACUGCUUUUGUACGGAACGAAAAGCCUGGGGCUAAUAUCCCCGGGUCAUGACGGUACCGUAAGAAUAAGCACCGGCUAACUACGUGCCAGCAGCCGCGGUAAUACGUAGGGUGCAAGCGUUAAUCGGAAUUACUGGGCGUAAAGCGUGCGCAGGCGGUUUUGUAAGACAGUGGUGAAAUCCCCGGGCUCAACCUGGGAACUGCCAUUGUGACUGCAAGGCUAGAGUGCGGCAGAGGGGGAUGGAAUUCCGCGUGUAGCAGUGAAAUGCGUAGAUAUGCGGAGGAACACCGAUGGCGAAGGCAAUCCCCUGGGCCUGCACUGACGCUCAUGCACGAAAGCGUGGGGAGCAAACAGGAUUAGAUACCCCAGUAGUCC